This 519-nucleotide ribosomal RNA is filed under the name uncultured bacterium. Its description in RNAcentral is "bacterial SSU rRNA". It matches the Rfam family "Bacterial small subunit ribosomal RNA", at positions 791 to 1312 of the family's 1533-position model. The record is from RNAcentral.
UAGUCCACGCCGUAAACGAUGGAUACUAGGUGUCCGGGAAGCUAACCUCCUGGGUACUACAGCUAACGCGUUAAGUAUCCCGCCUGGGAAGUACGGUCGCAAGAUUGAAACUCAAAGGAAUUGACGGGGGCCCGCACAAGCGGUGGAGCAUGUGGUUUAAUUCGAUGAUACGCGAGGAACCUUACCAGGGCUUAAAUGGGGAUUGACAGGACUGGAAACAGUUUUUUCUUCGGACAAUCUUCAAGGUGCUGCAUGGUUGUCGUCAGCUCGUGCUGUGAAGUGUCGGGUUAAGUCCCAUAACGAGCGCAACCCCUAUUUCUAGUUGCUAGCAGGUAAUGCUGAGGACUCUAGAGAAACUGCCCGUGCAAACGGUGAGGAAGGUGGGGAUGACGUCAAAUCAUCACGGCCCUUACGUCCUGGGCUACACACGUGCUACAAUGGCCGGUACAGAGGGCAGCUACCAUGUGAAUGGAUGCAAAUCUCAAAAGCCGGUCUCAGUUCGGAUCGGAGUCUGCAACU